UAGGGAAUAUUAGAAAUGGACGAAAGUCUGAUCUAGCAACACCGCGUGUGCGAAGAAGGCCUUCGGGUCGUAAAGCACUUUUUGGAAGGAAUAGGAAGGAAUGUACUUCCAGAAUAAGUCUCGGCUAACUACGUGCCAGCAGCCGCGGUAACACGUAGGAGGCAAACGUUAUCCGGAUUUACUGGGCGUAAAGCGCGUGUAGGUGGUUCUGUAAGUAGGGCGUGAAAGCUCCUGGCUCAACUGGGAGAGGCCGUUCUAAACUGCAGAGCUAGAGGAUGGUAGAGGGAGGUGGAAUUCCGGGUGUAGCGGUGGAAUGCGCAGAUAUCCGGAGGAACACCAGUGGCGAAAGCGGCGACCUGGACCAUUGCUGACACUCAGACGCGAAAGCUAGGGUAGCAAACG
Molecule: ribosomal RNA, 402 nt
Filed under: uncultured prokaryote
Description: bacterial SSU rRNA
Rfam family: Bacterial small subunit ribosomal RNA
Source: RNAcentral